CCGGGGUGCUACCUGCCGUUUAACGGAGCACGGGAGCAAUCCUGGUGGCUUACUGGCGAACGGGUGAGUAAUAUAUCGGAACGUGCCCAGUCGUGGGGGAUAACGCAGCGAAAGCUGUGCUAAUACCGCAUACGAUCUACGGAUGAAAGCGGGGGAUCGCAAGACCUCGCGCGAUUGGAGCGGCCGAUAUCAGAUUAGCUAGUUGGUGGGGUAAAGGCCCACCAAGGCGACGAUCUGUAGCUGGUCUGAGAGGACGACCAGCCACACUGGAACUGAGACACGGUCCAGACUCCUACGGGAGGCAGCAGUGGGGAAUUUUGGACAAUGGGCGCAAGCCCGAUCCAGCAAUGCCGCGUGCAGGAUGAAGGCCUUCGGGUUGUAAACUGCUUUUGUACGGAACGAAACGGUGAGCUCUAAUAAAGUUUGCUAAUGACGGUACCGUAAGAAUAAGCACCGGCUAACUACGUGCCAGCAGCCGCGGUAAUACGUAGGUGCGAGCGUUAAUCGGAAUUACUGGGCGUAAAGCGUGCGCAGGCGGUUAUGUAACGACAGAUGUGAAAUCCCCGGGCUCAACCUGCGGACCUGGCAUUUUGUGACUGCCAUAGCUAGGAGUACGGUAGAAGGGGAUGGAAUCUCCGCGUGUAGCAGUGACAAUGGCCGUAGACUUGCCGGAGGAACACACGAUUGGCGAAGGCAAUACCCUGAACUGUACUGCGGCUCAUGCACCAACCCUUGGACCAACACGGAUUAAUCCCCUGUUAUCCAGCCUAAAAAUUCAC
This 779-nucleotide ribosomal RNA is filed under the name uncultured beta proteobacterium. RNAcentral's name for it is "bacterial SSU rRNA". It matches the Rfam family "Bacterial small subunit ribosomal RNA", at positions 39 to 813 of the family's 1533-position model. Lineage: Bacteria; Pseudomonadati; Pseudomonadota; Betaproteobacteria. The record is from RNAcentral.